CCUACGGGAGGCAGCAGUGAGGAAUAUUGGUCAAUGGACGAGAGUCUGAACCAGCCAAGUCGCGUGAAGGAUGACUGCCCUAUGGGUUGUAAACUUCUUUUAUAAAGGAAUAAAACGAGGCACGUGUGCCUUUUUGCAUGUACUUUAUGAAUAAGGAUCGGCUAACUCCGUGCCAGCAGCCGCGGUAAUACGGAGGAUCCGAGCGUUAUCCGGAUUUAUUGGGUUUAAAGGGAGCGUAGAUGGGUUGUUAAGUCAGUUGUGAAAGUUUGCGGCUCAACCGUAAAAUUGCAAUUGAUACUGGCAGUCGUGAGUACAGUUGAGGUAGGCGGAAUUCGUGGUGUAGCGGUGAAAUGCUUAGAUAUCACGAAGAACCCCGAUUGCGAAGGCAGCUUACUAAACUGUGACUGACAUUGAUGCUCGAAAGUGUGGGUAUCAAACAGGAUUAGAUACCCUUGUAGUC
RNAcentral lists this ribosomal RNA (460 nucleotides) under uncultured bacterium. RNAcentral describes it as "partial 16S ribosomal RNA". It matches the Rfam family "Bacterial small subunit ribosomal RNA", at positions 338 to 795 of the family's 1533-position model. The record is from RNAcentral.